GUCUAUGGCCAUGUCACCCUGAACAAGCCUGAUGUCUGAUCUCAUGAAGCUAAGCAGGGUCAGGACUGGUUAGUACUUGGAUGGGAGACCACCUAGGAAGAACAGGUGCUGUAGACA
Molecule: ribosomal RNA, 117 nt
Filed under: Pteropus alecto (black flying fox)
Lineage: Eukaryota; Metazoa; Chordata; Mammalia; Chiroptera; Pteropodidae
Source: RNAcentral